GAUGAACGCUGACAGAAUGCUUAACACAUCAGCAAGUGAUUGGUGGCGGACGGGUGAGUAACGCGUAAAGAACUUGCCUCACAGGUAGGGACAACAUUUGGAAACGAAUGCUAAUACCUAAUACUGUGAGAGAGCUUUGCGUCCCAUUAGCUAGUUGGAGAGGUAACGGCUCACCAAGGCGAUGAUGGGUAGCCGGCCUGAGAGGGUGAUCCGCCACAAAGUGUCUGAGACACGAGCCGUAAGCUAACGGGAGGCAGCAGUGGAGACUAUAGGACAAUGGACCAAAGUCUGAUCAAGCUAUUCUGUGUGCACGAUGAUGUUUUCGGAAGAUAAAGUGCUUUCAGUUGGGAGGCGGUACCAACAGAAGAAGUGACGGCUAAAUACGUGCCAGCAGCCGCGGUAAUAC
This 406-nucleotide ribosomal RNA is filed under the name uncultured bacterium. Its description in RNAcentral is "partial 16S ribosomal RNA". It matches the Rfam family "Bacterial small subunit ribosomal RNA", at positions 28 to 526 of the family's 1533-position model. The record is from RNAcentral.